RNAcentral lists this small RNA (66 nucleotides) under Alteribacillus iranensis. RNAcentral describes it as "Bacillus sp. X5B(2010) Bacillaceae-1 RNA". It matches the Rfam family "Bacillaceae-1 RNA". Lineage: Bacteria; Bacillati; Bacillota; Bacilli; Caryophanales; Bacillaceae. The record is from Rfam by way of RNAcentral.
UUCGAAGGAUCACCGCCUAAGUACUCCACGUCCUGUGGAAACGGCGGUGCUAGUACCUCCUGUACG